UGAGCAGAGCAGGGAUCUAAAAUUGCCCAAGUCAGAGGCGGACAAACACGAUUUGCUCAAGGUGAUUCGAAAGCAGCGGGGCUCCAUGCUCUCACUCUUCCCCAGUUCUGCUGCCAUCCGCAAGGAUUCACUCGGUAACUGAAGAGUUAAAGAUUGUUUAUAUCAUAGAAGUAAAUUUAUUAAAAUUCCCCACAUCAUAAGGACUUCAGGGCCACCCUGUGUAGUAUUAAGUGACUGAUUACAAGUCUAUAGAACGCUGCAAGGAUGGACAGAGCUGCCUCCGGAAAGGAUUUCUCGAGCUGAGACCAGAAGGUCCCUUCAGGCUUCUGCCUGUCUGGUAUCGUUCCCCUGUUGUUUCACGUGGGGGUGCUCUUUGAGAAAGAUCCAUAACAGCAGGAACCUGAACAUCCAACAGUGUUUGAAAAGUGGCGGUCCAGAGGACCAAGUGAGCAGAGGACCCUGGAGUCAAGCGAAGCAUCAGUGCCGGGAAAACGGAUGGUCCCCAGCCACUAUAAUUCUUUCAUGAUGGUCCUAAAGAGGAAGAUGAUGAAGAAAACGAUGGCAGUUGAUUUGUGGUUGGAAAGAAUAUACAAUAUGCAUGUC
Microcebus murinus (gray mouse lemur) is the source of this 603-nucleotide non-coding RNA. The record is from RefSeq and is a predicted model, not a curated record. Lineage: Eukaryota; Metazoa; Chordata; Mammalia; Primates; Cheirogaleidae.